RNAcentral lists this ribosomal RNA (91 nucleotides) under Echinimonas agarilytica. Lineage: Bacteria; Pseudomonadati; Pseudomonadota; Gammaproteobacteria; Alteromonadales; Echinimonadaceae. The record is from RNAcentral.
CACCUGAUCCCAUUCCGAACUCAGUAGUGAAACGCAAUCGCGCCGAUGGUAGUGUGGGGUUUCCCCAUGCGAGAGUAGGUCACCGCCAGGC